This 1797-nucleotide long non-coding RNA is filed under the name Callithrix jacchus (white-tufted-ear marmoset). RNAcentral describes it as "lncRNA (ENSCJAG00000076780.1)". The record is from RNAcentral. Lineage: Eukaryota; Metazoa; Chordata; Mammalia; Primates; Cebidae.
CUCAAAUUCUCUGUCAGUUUAAAGAAGUUUAAUUUGGAUACACUGUAUUGACUUUUUUAAAGGAGCCUUUAAAAUGCUCAUUUUUCUCGUACAACUAAUACUAUUUCUGUUUUUAUUCUUGUCCCAAUGAGCAAGUGGCAUAGAGUUUGUUGUUUGGAUAACUGGAGAAUUGGGAACAGAAUUCAUCAUUACUGAGAUCACUUUCAGCUUACCAGAUGAGAAGUGAAAAGCUCUUGCAUUUGUAAAUACCAUGUAAAGUGGCUACGACCAACAGGUCACAAUGGCUUCUGCCACAACUGUAUAUGAAAUUCUCUCUUUCCACUCUGUAUCCCUGUCUAUCUUCCUUCUGAGCAAGAUAUAGGAAACUUCUCUUGGAGCUGUCAGCUUUUGAGUCAAAUUUAGAGUUCAAUGUGAUAUUUUUCUCAUUUUUCCAACUGUAGUUUCAUGGAGAAGACGAGAAACAGUUUUUUUGGAGUCCACGUCUGGUCUCCAAAACAGUGUUUUAAAAAGGAGCCCACCUGGAUGGCACAUUAUGUUUGCUUGUCAUGUCUCUUGGUGCUCCUGUCCAUUCUGGCACUCUCCUUGUUUUUGAUGACCUUGAGAGUUUUGACGAGUACUGAUCAGGUAUUUUAUAGAUUGUCUCUCAGUUGGGAUUUGUGUGAUGUUUGUCUCAUGAUUGGACUAGGGUUAUGAGUUUUGGGGAGGAAGAGUAGUAAAGAGGCAAACUGCCAUUCUCAUUACAUUGAAUCAAGGGGACAUUCUAUCAGUAGGACUCAUAUAUGUUGAUAUUAACUGAACAUCUGGCUGAAAUUGUGUUUGUUAGAUUUCUCUACUGUAAAGCUCCUUUGUUUUGGUCCCUUUCCAAGCUAUACCCUUUGGAAUGAAGUCAUUAUGAGCAGCCUAUACUUAAGAAGUGGAAAUUAUGCUCCACUUUUUUGAGGGCAAUGUGUCUAUUUAAAUUAUUUGUAAUUAGUUACAUAGAAGAUUUGUCUUUUCUGUCCUUUUUUUUUUCUUUCAACUGUAUUUUCUUGCUCAGAUUGCUCCAACUUUGGCCGUUGGGAGCUCUUUCAGUUGGCUUCUGUUUCUCCUUGGUGUUACCACUGUUUGUGUGUUGUUAUUUAUCUUUUUGUUUUGUUUCAUUUUUAGCACUUCUUCACCUCCUGGCACUGUAGAGUACUCAGGCUCAUCUUGUAUCUUCCCUACCCCGGCCCUAGAAUCUGUAAUUUCUAAGAGGAGCUCUGGCUUCUCUUGAUGAAAAAUGUUAGAAACAAAGAUCAGGGCUUUAGAUUUGCUCAUUGCUACUGGGGUGUCAUUGCUUCUAGGUCUUCUCAGCAGAUAGAGUAAGAAAAUACAUGUGUGUGUAGUAGCAAUGUAUAUACACACAUCUGUAAAUGUUUCUACAUGUCCAUCUGCAUCAACAUCAUGCUAAACAUGGUUAAUACUGAUACCUCUAACUCAAAUCCAUUACUCCAUGAUUGUUCUAGUCUCUCGUCCAUGUUUGAAAUCUCUCACUCCAACAGUGAGAAACCUGGCUCCCACCAUCUGCUGUCCAUUUACUUAAUUGUGCAAUUACAGUGUACAUACAGAUUGGUUUCAGAAUCAUCCCUGUUGUUCUUCCCCUCCUGUUUUCUGAUCUAGAAGGCAUGCAUUUGACAGUGGUCUGAGUUCAAUCUCCAAAUGCCUGCCUCCUUUCUUUCCAUCUGUCUGUCUGCCCAUAUUAUCUAUCCAUCCCAUUUUUUAUUUAUCUCGUGAAUACACAUUUUUUGAGCUAAGUGAGCACAUUGACUUUUAGAAUCG